Molecule: ribosomal RNA, 454 nt
Filed under: uncultured bacterium
Lineage: Bacteria
Description: bacterial SSU rRNA
Rfam family: Bacterial small subunit ribosomal RNA
Source: RNAcentral
UACGGGAGGCAGCAGUGGGGAAUAUUGCACAAUAGGGCGCAAGCCUGAUGCAGCCAUGCCGCGUGUAUGAAGAAGGCCUUCGGGUUGUAAAGUACUUUUCAGUCGUGAGGAAGGUGUUAAGGUUAAUAACCUUAGCAAUUGACGUUAGCGACAGAAGAAGCACCGGCUAACUCCGUGCCAGCAGCCGCGGUAAUACGGAGGGUGCGAGCGUUAAUCGGAAUUACUGGGCGUAAAGGGCACGCAGGCGGUUAAUUAAGUUGGAUGUGAAAUCCCCGGGCUUAACCUGGGAAUGGCAUUCAAGACUGGUUAGCUAGAGUCUUGUAGAGGGGGUAGAUUCCAUGUGUAGCGGUGAAAUGCGUAGAGAUGUGGAGGAAUACCGGUGGCGAAGGCGGCCCCUGGACAAAGACUGACGCUCAUGUGCGAAAGCGUGGGGAGCAAACAGGGAUUAGAUACC